This 253-nucleotide ribosomal RNA is filed under the name uncultured bacterium. RNAcentral's name for it is "partial 16S ribosomal RNA". It matches the Rfam family "Bacterial small subunit ribosomal RNA", at positions 524 to 776 of the family's 1533-position model. The record is from RNAcentral.
UACGAAGGGGGCUAGCGUUGCUCGGAAUCACUGGGCGUAAAGCGCACGUAGGCGGCUUUUUAAGUCAGGGGUGAAAUCCUGGAGCUCAACUCCAGAACUGCCUUUGAUACUGAGAGGCUUGAGUCCGGGAGAGGUGAGUGGAACUGCGAGUGUAGAGGUGAAAUUCGUAGAUAUUCGCAAGAACACCAGUGGCGAAGGCGGCUCACUGGCCCGGUACUGACGCUGAGGUGCGAAAGCGUGGGGAGCGAUCCGG